UUUAAGAAGGUGUCUAAGGAUGUAU
Molecule: non-coding RNA, 25 nt
Filed under: Mus musculus (house mouse)
Lineage: Eukaryota; Metazoa; Chordata; Mammalia; Rodentia; Muridae
Source: RNAcentral